RNAcentral lists this ribosomal RNA (253 nucleotides) under uncultured bacterium. RNAcentral describes it as "partial 16S ribosomal RNA". It matches the Rfam family "Bacterial small subunit ribosomal RNA", at positions 524 to 776 of the family's 1533-position model. The record is from RNAcentral.
UACGUAGGGAGCAAGCGUUGUCCGGAAUCAUUGGGCGUAAAGCGCGCGUAGGCGGCCCUGUAAGUCCGUUGUGAAAGUCAAAGGCUCAACCUUUGAAAGCCGGUGGAUACUGUGGGGCUAGAGUCCGGGAGAGGCGAGUGGAAUUCCUGGUGUAGCGGUGGAAUGCGCAGAUAUCAGGAGGAACACCAAUAGCGAAGGCAGCUCGCUGGGACGGUACUGACGCUAAGGCGCGAAAGCGUGGGGAGCGAACAGG